GGGUUGUGAGGUUAAGCGACUAAGCGUACACGGUGGAUGCCUAGGCAAUCAGAGGCGAUGAAGGACGUGCUAAUCUGCGAAAAGCGUCGGUAAGGUGAUAUGAACCGUUAUAACCGACGAUGUCCGAAUGGGGAAACCCAGUGCAAUUCGUUGCACUAUCGUUUGAUGAAUCCAUAGUCAAACGAGGCGAACCGGGGGAACUGAAACAUCUCAGUACCCCGAGGAAAAGAAAUCAACCGAGAUUCCCCUAGUAGCGGCGAGCGAACGGGGAGCAGCCCAGAGUCUUAAUCAGCAUCAGCAUCAGGAGAACGGUCUGGAAAGGCCGGCAAUAAAGGGUGAUAGCCCCGUAUCCGAAGGUGUUGGUGUUGUGAACUCGACGAGUAGGGCGGGACACGUGUUAUCCUGUCUGAAUAUGGGGGGACCAUCCUCCAAGGCUAAAUACUCCUGAUUGACCGAUAGUGAACCAGUACCGUGAGGGAAAGGCGAAAAGAACCCCGGCGAGGGGAGUGAAAUAGAACCUGAAACCGUGUACGUACAAGCAGUGGGAGCCUUGAUUUAUCAGGGUGACUGCGUACCUUUUGUAUAAUGGGUCAGCGACUUAUAUUCUGUAGCAAGGUUAACCGAAUAGGGGAGCCGUAGGGAAACCGAGUCUUAACUGGGCGAAUGAGUUGCAGGGUAUAGACCCGAAACCCGGUGAUCUAGCCAUGGGCAGGUUGAAGGUUGGGUAACACUAACUGGAGGACCGAACCGACUAAUGUUGAAAAAUUAGCGGAUGACUUGUGGCUGGGGGUGAAAGGCCAAUCAAACCGGGAGAUAGCUGGUUCUCCCCGAAAGCUAUUUAGGUAGCGCCUCGUGAACUCAUAUUCGGGGGUAGAGCACUGUUUCGGCUAGGGGGUCAUCCCGACUUACCAACCCGAUGCAAACUACGAAUACCGAAGAAUGUUAUCACGGGAGACACACGGCGGGUGCUAACGUUCGUCGUGAAGAGGGAAACAACCCAGACCGCCAGCUAAGGUCCCAAAGUCAUGGUUAAGUGGGAAACGAAGUGGGAAGGCUCAGACAGCCAGGAUGUUGGCUUAGAAGCAGCCAUCAUUUAAAGAAAGCGUAAUAGCUCACUGGUCGAGUCGGCCUGCGCGGAAGAUGUAACGGGGCUAAACCAUGCACCGAAGCUGCGGCAGCGACAUGUAAAUGUUGUUGGGUAGGGGAGCGUUCUGUAAGCCUGUGAAGGUGUGCUGCGAGGCAUGCUGGAGGUAUCAGAAGUGCGAAUGCUGACAUAAGUAACGAUAAUGCGGGUGAAAAACCCGCACGCCGGAAGACCAAGGGUUCCUGUCCAACGUUAAUCGGGGCAGGGUGAGUCGACCCCUAAGGCGAGGCAGAAAUGCGUAGUCGAUGGGAAACAGGUUAAUAUUCCUGUACUGGUGAUAAUUGCGAUGGGGGGACGGAGAAGGCUAGGCUGGCCGGGCGACGGUUGUCCCGGUUUAAGGAUGUAGGUGGGUGAAUUAGGCAAAUCCGGUUCGCUAUACACUGAGGUCUGAUGACGAGUCACUACGGUGGCGAAGUAGCUCAUGCCCCGCUUCCAGGAAAAGCCUCUAAGCUCUAGAUUAUCAUUAAUCGUACCCCAAACCGACACAGGUGGUCAGGUAGAGAAUACUCAGGCGCUUGAGAGAACUCGGGUGAAGGAACUAGGCAAAAUGGUGCCGUAACUUCGGGAGAAGGCACGCUGGCAUUAGGUGAAGUGGUUUACCCAUGGAGCUGAAGCCAGUCGCAGAUACCAGCUGGCUGCAACUGUUUAUUAAAAACACAGCACUGUGCAAACACGAAAGUGGACGUAUACGGUGUGACGCCUGCCCGGUGCUGGAAGGUUAAUUGAUGGGGUUAUCCGUAAGGAGAAGCUCUUGAUCGAAGCCCCAGUAAACGGCGGCCGUAACUAUAACGGUCCUAAGGUAGCGAAAUUCCUUGUCGGGUAAGUUCCGACCUGCACGAAUGGCGUAAUGAUGGCCAGGCUGUCUCCACCCGAGACUCAGUGAAAUUGAACUCGCUGUGAAGAUGCAGUGUACCCGCGGCAAGACGGAAAGACCCCGUGAACCUUUACUAUAGCUUGACACUGAACAUUGAGCCUUGAUGUGUAGGAUAGGUGGGAGGCUUUGAAGUGUGGACGCCAGUCUGCAUGGAGCCAACCUUGAAAUACCACCCUUUAAUGUUUGAUGUUCUAACGUUGCCCCGUGAUCCGGGGUGCGGACAGUGUCUGGUGGGUAGUUUGACUGGGGCGGUCUCCUCCCAAAGCGUAACGGAGGAGCACGAAGGUUGGCUAAGCAUGGUCGGACAUCAUGCGGUUAGUGCAAAGGCAUAAGCCAGCUUGACUGCGAGAGUGACGGCUCGAGCAGGUACGAAAGUAGGUCUUAGUGAUCCGGUGGUUCUGAAUGGAAGGGCCAUCGCUCAACGGAUAAAAGGUACUCCGGGGAUAACAGGCUGAUACCGCCCAAGAGUUCAUAUCGACGGCGGUGUUUGGCACCUCGAUGUCGGCUCAUCACAUCCUGGGGCUGAAGUAGGUCCCAAGGGUAUGGCUGUUCGCCAUUUAAAGUGGUACGCGAGCUGGGUUUAGAACGUCGUGAGACAGUUCGGUCCCUAUCUGCCGUGGGCGUUGGAAGAUUGAAAGGGGCUGCUCCUAGUACGAGAGGACCGGAGUGGACGCACCGCUGGUGUUCGGGUUGUCAUGCCAAUGGCACUGCCCGGUAGCUAAGUGCGGAAGAGAUAACCGCUGAAAGCAUCUAAGCGGGAAACUUGCCUUGAGAUGAGUCUUCCCUGACCCUUUAAGGGUCCUAAAGGAACGUUUAAGACGAAGACGUUGAUAGGCUGGGUGUGUAAGCGUAGCGAUACGUUGAGCUAACCAGUACUAAUGAACCGUGAGGCUUAACCUGACAACACCGAAGGUGUUUUAG
This 2939-nucleotide ribosomal RNA is filed under the name Providencia stuartii. RNAcentral's name for it is "bacterial LSU rRNA". It matches the Rfam family "Bacterial large subunit ribosomal RNA". The record is from RNAcentral. Lineage: Bacteria; Pseudomonadati; Pseudomonadota; Gammaproteobacteria; Enterobacterales; Morganellaceae.